This 539-nucleotide ribosomal RNA is filed under the name Cryptosporidium meleagridis. Its description in RNAcentral is "SSU rRNA". It matches the Rfam family "Eukaryotic small subunit ribosomal RNA", at positions 494 to 1060 of the family's 1831-position model. Lineage: Eukaryota; Apicomplexa; Conoidasida; Eucoccidiorida; Cryptosporidiidae. The record is from RNAcentral.
UUUUUGGUUUUGUAAUUGGAAUGAGUUAAGUAUAAACCCCUUUACAAGUAUCAAUUGGAGGGCAAGUCUGGUGCCAGCAGCCGCGGUAAUUCCAGCUCCAAUAGCGUAUAUUAAAGUUGUUGCAGUUAAAAAGCUCGUAGUUGGAUUUCUGUUAAUAAUUUAUAUAUAAUAUUUGAUUAAUAUUUAUAUAAUAUUAACAUAAUUCAUAUUACUAAAUUUAUUAGUAUAUGAAAUUUUACUUUGAGAAAAUUAGAGUGCUUAAAGCAGGCAUAUGCCUUGAAUACUCCAGCAUGGAAUAAUAUUAAAGAUUUUUAUCUUUCUUAUUGGUUCUAAGAUAAAAAUAAUGAUUAAUAGGGACAGUUGGGGGCAUUUGUAUUUAACAGUCAGAGGUGAAAUUCUUAGAUUUGUUAAAGACAAACUAAUGCGAAAGCAUUUGCCAAGGAUGUUUUCAUUAAUCAAGAACGAAAGUUAGGGGAUCGAAGACGAUCAGAUACCGUCGUAGUCUUAACCAUAAACUAUGCCAACUAGAGAUUGGAGGU